AGACACUGCAGGGCAGGAGCCGCGGGAAAAAGGAGGUGGCAAUGGUUAUCCGGUGUUAGUGGGCGUAAAGCGAACGCCGGCGGUCGCGUAAGUCGGACGUGAAAGCUCCUGGCUCAACUGGGAGAGGUCGUUCGGAACUGCGCGGCUUGAGGUUGGAAGAGGAGAGCGGAAUUCCCGGUGUAGUGGUGGAAUGCGUAGAUAUCGGGAGGAACACCAGUGGCGAAAGCGGCUCUCUGGUCCACACCUGACGCUCAGGUGCGAAAGCGUGGGUAGCGAACGGGAUUAGAUACCCGUGUAGUC
RNAcentral lists this ribosomal RNA (300 nucleotides) under uncultured Lactobacillus sp. RNAcentral describes it as "bacterial SSU rRNA". It matches the Rfam family "Bacterial small subunit ribosomal RNA", at positions 496 to 795 of the family's 1533-position model. The record is from RNAcentral. Lineage: Bacteria; Bacillati; Bacillota; Bacilli; Lactobacillales; Lactobacillaceae.